Molecule: unclassified non-coding RNA, 761 nt
Filed under: Hevea brasiliensis (rubber tree)
Lineage: Eukaryota; Viridiplantae; Streptophyta; Magnoliopsida; Malpighiales; Euphorbiaceae
Source: RNAcentral
GCCCAGAGCGUUGAAAUCACAGAACUUGAGAAGGGUGAACAAUGUGGCAGCAACAAAGAAGACCAUGGAGAUUGCAACCCAAAAAUGCGGAAGUGUUUCCCAUAAUAACUCAUCAUUCGAGCUUUCUUCAUCUCCAGGUAAUAAUGCCUUACACAUUCUGAAAUUGUCAACGAGAAUAGUUAUUUCAAAUGCUAACAAGGGAAGAAAGACAAAUUUCAAAUUCACAGCCGCUGAAUGGUAGACAUAUAUGCUCUCAAGAUAUAUACAGAGAAGUAGUUCAAAUGCAACAAGCAAAGGUGUCGCAACAACAGCAUGACAUGGAGCCCAAUGGCGAUCAUAGGGAAUCGAUGGAGCAGGCAGAGAGAAUCUUCCUCGGGCAACAACUGCAUGAAACACCCACACAGGGGAGAAUACAACCCACCAGGAGAAAUCAGAAUAGUGAUCGAGCUUGACAACAAGCAAAACGGUGAAACACAAAAGCAAAAGGUGCGCUGAAAGCGCCUGAAAAGACUUUCCGACACUCCUCCAGCUCAUUGUUGUUUUUCCGUCCUCACACUACUGAUAACAGCUACUGCUCUGAAAUUGAAACCACUUCGAGUAAAAAUCAAGCUGUAUAUGAACUUGAAACUUGGGAAUUGAAGGAUUUUGAGUGAAUCUGAAGAGAAUAUAAUUAGGUUUUCGAAGGAAGAGGUGGAAUUGAGAAGUAUUAGAAGUGAGAGAGAGAAAUGGCAGUUGCGGGAAGAGGAAGACAAAUGGAAAGG